Pygocentrus nattereri (red-bellied piranha) is the source of this 1590-nucleotide long non-coding RNA. The record is from Ensembl. NCBI's taxonomy places the organism in Eukaryota, Metazoa, Chordata, Actinopteri, Characiformes, Serrasalmidae.
AUUCACUGCCACCUAAAAUCUACUGCCACCUUAAAUUCACUGCCACCUAAAAUCUACUGCCACCUUAAAUUCACUGAUACUUUAAAAUCCACUCCCAAUAUAAAUCCACUGCUACGAGAAACUCACUUUUACCUGAAACCUUCUCACACGUUAAAUCUACUGCCGCCUUGUAGUUACUGGUUCAUUAAAUUGCUCCCACUGCUACUGAGUGCUGAUUGGUCAGUAUUACUGCUACUGAGCGCUGAUUGGUCAGUAUUACUGCUACUGAGCGCUGAUUGGUCAGUAUUACGGCUACUGAGCGCUGAUUGGUCAGUAUUACGGCUACUGAGCGCUGAUUGGUCAGUAUUACGGCUACUGAGCGCUGAUUGGUCAGUAUUACGGCUACUGAGCGCUGAUUGGUCAGUAUUACUGCUACUGAGAGCUGAUUGGUCAGUAUUACUGCUACUGAGAGCUGAUUGGUCAGUAUUACUGCUACUGAGAGCUGAUUGGUCAGUAUUACUGCUACUGAGCGCUGAUUGGUCAGUAUUACUGCUACUGAGCCCUGAUUGGUCAGUAUUACUGCUACUGAGCGCUGAUUGGUCAGUAUUACUGCUACUGAGCGCUGAUUGGUCAGUAUUACUGCUACUGAGCGCUGAUUGGUCAGUAUUACUGCUACUGAGCGCUGAUUGGUCAGUAUUACUGCUACUGAGCGCUGAUUGGUCAGUAUUACGGCUACUGAGCGCUGAUUGGUCAAUAUUACUGCUACUGAGCGCUGAUUGGUCAGUAUUACUGCUACUGAGCGCUGAUUGGUCAAUAUUACUGCUACUGAGUGCUGAUUGGUCAGUAUUACUGCUACUGAGCGCUGAUUGGUCAGUAUUACUGCUACUGAGUGCUGAUUGGUCAAUAUUACUGCUACUGAGCGCUGAUUGGUCAAUAUUACUGCUACUGAGUGCUGAUUGGUCAGUAUUACUGCUACUGAGUGCUGAUUGGUCAGUAUUACUGCUACUGAGCGCUGAUUGGUCAGUAUUACUGCUACUGAGCGCUGAUUGGUCAGUAUUACUGCUACUGAGCGCUGAUUGGUCAGUAUUACUGCUACUGAGCGCUGAUUGGUCAGUAUUACGGCUACUGAGCGCUGAUUGGUCAAUAUUACUGCUACUGAGCGCUGAUUGGUCAGUAUUACUGCUACUGAGCGCUGAUUGGUCAAUAUUACUGCUACUGAGUGCUGAUUGGUCAGUAUUACUGCUACUGAGCGCUGAUUGGUCAGUAUUACUGCUACUGAGUGCUGAUUGGUCAAUAUUACUGCUACUGAGCACUGAUUGGUCAAUAUUACUGCUACUGAGUGCUGAUUGGUCAGUAUUACUGCUACUGAGUGCUGAUUGGUCAGUAUUACUGCUACUGAGCGCUGAUUGGUCAGUAUUACUGCUACUGAGCGCUGAUUGGUCAGUAUUACUGCUACUGAGAGCUGAUUGGUCAGUAUUACUGCUACUGAGAGCUGAUUGGUCAGUUUUACGGCUACUGAGCGCUGAUUGGUCAGUAUUAGAGCUGAAAGCGGCGCUGUCUCGUGUCCGCGCUCGCCGUUGUUUUUGUCAGCGCUUAGCGAAGUCGCUGUAG